Molecule: ribosomal RNA, 466 nt
Filed under: uncultured bacterium
Lineage: Bacteria
Description: partial 16S ribosomal RNA
Rfam family: Bacterial small subunit ribosomal RNA
Source: RNAcentral
GACGAACGCUGGCGGCGUGCUUAACACAUGCAAGUCGAACGGAAAGGCCCAGCUUGCUGGGUACUCGAGUGGCGAACGGGUGAGUAACACGUGGGUGAUCUGCCCUGCACUCUGGGAUAAGCCUGGGAAACUGGGUCUAAUACCGGAUAUGACCAACUGUCGCAUGGUGGUUGGUGGAAAGCUUUUGCGGUGUGGGAUGGGCCCGCGGCCUAUCCGCUUGUUGGUGGGGUAAUGGCCUACCAAGGCGACGACGGGUAGCCGACCUGAGAGGGUGAUCGGCCACACUGGGACUGAGACACGGCCCAGACUCCUACGGGAGGCAGCAGUGGGGAAUAUUGCACAAUGGGCGCAAGCCUGAUGCAGCGACGCCGCGUGAGGGAUGACGGCCUUCGGGUUGUAAACCUCUUUCACCAGGGACGAAGCGUGAGUGACGGUACCUGGAGAAGAAGCACCGGCCAACUACGUG